CCACUAUCUGGUCAUUAAACUAGCCACUACUUGGUCAUUAAACUAGCCACCACCUGGUCAUUAAACUAGCCACUACCUGGUCAUUAAACUAGCCACUACCUGGUCAUUAAACUAGCCACUACCUGGUCAUUAAACUAGCCACUACCUGGUCAUUAAACUAGCCACUACCUGGUCAUUAAACUAGCCACUACCUGGUCAUUAAACUAGCCACCACCUGGUCAUUAAACUAGCCCCCACCUGGUCAUUAAACUAGCCACUACCUGGUCAUUAAACUAGCCACUUCCUGGUCAUUUGUCGUGGAAAUGUCCUGUAUUACCAAAUCAUGAGAGAGCAAACCACACACAAGGUUAGGCCAGGACCAGGUACAUACAGGUCAGGACCAGGUACAUACAGGUCAGGUUAGGACCAGGUACAUACAGGUUAGGACCAGGUACAUACAGGUCAGGACCAGGUACAUACAGGUCAGGACCAGGUACAUACAGGUCAGGACCAGGUACAUACAGGUCAGGACCAGGUACAUACAGGUUAGGACCAGGUACAUACAGGUCAGGACCAGGUACAUACAGGUCAGGACCAGGUACAUAUAGGUCAGGACCAGGUACAUACAGGUCAGGACCAGGUACAUACAGGUCAAGUUAGGACCAGGUACAUACAGGUCAGGACCAGGUACAUACAGGUCAGGACCAGGUACAUACAAGUCAGGACCAGGUACAUACAGGUCAGGACCAGGUAUAUACAGGUCAGGACCAGGUACAUACAGGUCAGGACCAGGUACAUACAGGUCAGGUUAGGACCAGGUACAUACAGGUCAGGUCAGGACCAGGUACAUACAGGUCAGGACCAGGUACAUACAGGUCAGGACCAGGUACAUACAGGUCAGGACCAGGUACAUACAGGUCAGGUUAGGACCAGGUACAUGCAGGUCAGGACCAGGUACAUACAGGUCAGGUCAGGUCAGGACCAGGUACAUACAGGUCAGGACCAGGUACAUACAGGUCAGGUCAGGUUAGGACCAGGUACCAGUGGUAAACAGAUGGAACCACACACCAGACCGGCUGUAUGUUGACGUCAUGGAGAUAGCAUAGAGAUAGGUUGACAUUUAUGAUUGACAGAUGAAACAGACUGAAGUGGUUGUGCAGGUCAGGUACUGACGAACAGAUAGAAGCAUGUCUCAGCAGACCGUAUAGCGCCACUCAGGGUCAACCAGGGUUACCAUGACACAUUUAGGCCCAGUUCCCUCCUUUGACCUAUGACCUAUGCUUAAUCAGUGUCCAGGAAAACACUUAACACUUAUUGUCCCUGUUGACCCAAUACAAACAAAAUAAAUAAUAUAAAUAUUAAUGAAUAAUAAUGAAUAAAAGGUGUCUGGUCAACCGGUUAUGCCGUUUUGUUUUGAGGAACAAUAGGAGGUCCUUUCAUCCGUUGUCUUUCUCCGAUUGUACAUUAUGGUGUAAAUAAAUAAAACACACACACACACAACACAACAUAGCAGAAGCAUGUUUUUGUCUUUCAUCCUUCCUUCCUUCCUUCCUUUCAUCCUUCCUUCCUUCCAUCCUUCCUUCCUUCCUUUCAUCCUUCCUUCCAUCCUUCCUUCCUUUCAUCCUUCCUUCCAUCCUUCCUUCCUUUCAUCCUUCCUUCCUUCCAUCCUUCCUUCCUUCCUUCCAUCCAUCCUUCCUUCCUUCCUUCCAUCCUUCCUUCCUUCCAUCCAUCCUUCCUUUCAUCCUUCCUUCCAUCCUUCCUUCCAUCCAUCCUUCCUUCCUUCCUUCCAUCCUUCCAUCCUUCCAUCCUUCCUUCCUUUCAUCCUUCCUUCCUUUCAUCCUUCCUUCCAUCCUUCCAUCCUUCCUUCCUUUCAUCCUUCCUUCCUUUCAUCCUUCCUUCCUUCCAUCCUUCCUUCUUUCCACUCUCUCUUUCUCUUCACUCCUUACCUUUUUGUAAUGGUCAACUGUAACCGUAGCAUAGAAGCGCUAGAAACAAACGAGGAAUGGAAUAGUACACAUGUACUGUAUGUAAAUCAUAUGUCUUGAUUGGCACUUUCCC
Long non-coding RNA from Oncorhynchus tshawytscha (Chinook salmon), 2037 nucleotides. The record is from Ensembl. NCBI's taxonomy places the organism in Eukaryota, Metazoa, Chordata, Actinopteri, Salmoniformes, Salmonidae.